GCAUAAUACCCGUUCGCCGGUGCCUUUCGGGGCCUAAGAGGGAACACACAUCACUGCGAUGACCGUGACUGCCCCCGCAACUGUAUGCAGCGAGUCCACGCCAAUUUGCGCCACUGGUGAUACCGGGAAGGCCGGUGUGGACGUUGACCCGCAGCGCUUUGCAUGGGACCAGAGUAAGACGCUCAAGCGUCAACGCUGGUCGACACAGGAAACCUGCCGGCCAACAGUUCGUGCCA
This 236-nucleotide non-coding RNA is filed under the name Paraburkholderia caribensis. Lineage: Bacteria; Pseudomonadati; Pseudomonadota; Betaproteobacteria; Burkholderiales; Burkholderiaceae. The record is from RNAcentral.